Notolabrus celidotus (New Zealand spotty) is the source of this 821-nucleotide long non-coding RNA. RefSeq lists it as uncharacterized. The record is from RefSeq and is a predicted model, not a curated record. The transcript has 3 exons. NCBI's taxonomy places the organism in Eukaryota, Metazoa, Chordata, Actinopteri, Labriformes, Labridae.
CCUGUGUCUGUGUCUUUCUUGUCUAUUCCCCUACAUCUUCCUUGUGUCUUUCCUCCUCAUGCUCCCAGUGGUGGAAUCACAUCUGAAGACACAUCGCCUCCUGAAAGAUCUUAUCCAGAGGAAUGAUGGUUUGCCCGAGAAACACGUCCAGACCGAUGAGAACUCGAUGCAUGACAGUGAGGACCAGGUCUCCGCUCCCCGGGGGGUACGAGCCCCGGCCGCCAUCCUCCAGGAUCCCCUGGAGCAGCUCGAAGCAGCACUCCUCGUUCCACUCGGGCAUCUCUGCCUUCUCCACCAGCCCGGUGGUGUACUUCUCCUUCCCCACCUGGAUGAUGGUGUAGAGGUAGCGGCUGCCGUGCUUGCCCUUGGUCCGCAGUCCUCUCGCGCGGAGGACGGUGACAUUCACGUGAGUGGGCACCCAUCGCUGCUCAUCAUCCAGAUCUAUCAGUGACAUCAUCUUGGACCGAUGCACAAGGGCUCAGCGGCUACCUAUCCUCAAGUGAACACUCCAAGAACUGCAACUCUUUGAACUUCCAAACUAGCUUCAUUUUUCAAAACCUGAGGUUGCCACUUCAGCAAGUCUAACUUGUUUAUGCUGCCCUCAAAUGGGCAAAAAAAAAGUUAGCAGCUGCAAGUUCAGAAUACCAAGUUAGUAACACAGUGUCAGUCCAUUGAGUGGUAAGUAGUUGGGGAGGUAUAAAGGCUGAAAAGACAAGCUAUCAUCUUUCAAUCGGUCUCCCCACACCAAACCGCACAGACUUAAACCACAGGGCCAUCAUACGCAUUGCAACCUCAAUAGAACAGGACAUCACACAUCCACU